UACGAAGGGGGCUAGCGUUGUUCGGAAUUACUGGGCGUAAAGCGCACGUAGGCGGAUAUUUAAGUCAGGGGUGAAAUCCCGGGGCUCAACCCCGGAGCUGCCUUUGAUACUGGGUAUCUCGAGUCCGAGAGAGGUGAGUGGAAUUCCGAGUGUAGAGGUGAAAUUCGUAGAUAUUCGGAGGAACACCAGUGGCGAAGGCGGCUCACUGGCUCGGUACUGACGCUGAGGUGCGAAAGCGUGGGGAGCAAACAGG
This 253-nucleotide ribosomal RNA is filed under the name uncultured bacterium. Its description in RNAcentral is "partial 16S ribosomal RNA". It matches the Rfam family "Bacterial small subunit ribosomal RNA", at positions 524 to 776 of the family's 1533-position model. The record is from RNAcentral.